CGCGGCCUAUCAGCUUGUUGGUGGGGUAAUGGCCUACCAUGGCUUCGACGGGUAGCCGGCCUGAGAGGGUGACCGGCCACACUGGGACUGAGACACGGCCCAGACUCCUACGGGAGGCAGCAGUGGGGAAUAUUGGACAAUGGGCGGAAGCCUGAUCCAGCAACGCCGCGUGAGGGAUGACGGCCUUCGGGUUGUAAACCUCUUUCGGUGGGGACGAAGCGAAAGUGACGGUACCCACUAAAGAAGCACCGGCCAACUGCGUGCCAGCAGCCGCGGUAAUACGUAGGGUGCGAGCGUUGUCCGGAAUUAUUGGGCGUAAAGGGCUCGUAGGCGGUUUGUCGCGUCGGGAGUGAAAACCAUGAGCUUAACUCAUGGCUUGCUUUCGAUACGGGCAGACUAGAGGUAUGCAGGGGAGAACGGAAUUCCUGGUGUAGCGGUGAAAUGCGCAGAUAUCAGGAGGAACACCGGUGGCGAAGGCGGUUCUCUGGGCAUUACCUGACGCUGAGGAGCGAAAGUAUGGGGAGCGAACAGGAUUAGAUACCCUGGUAGUCCACACCGUAAACGUUGGGCGCUAGGUGUGGGGCCUAUUCCAUGGGUUCCGUGCCGCAGCUAACGCAUUAAGCGCCCCGCCUGGGGAGUACGG
RNAcentral lists this ribosomal RNA (643 nucleotides) under uncultured bacterium. RNAcentral's name for it is "bacterial SSU rRNA". It matches the Rfam family "Bacterial small subunit ribosomal RNA", at positions 232 to 885 of the family's 1533-position model. The record is from RNAcentral.